This 468-nucleotide ribosomal RNA is filed under the name uncultured bacterium. RNAcentral's name for it is "partial 16S ribosomal RNA". It matches the Rfam family "Bacterial small subunit ribosomal RNA", at positions 28 to 507 of the family's 1533-position model. The record is from RNAcentral.
GACGAACGCUGGCGGCGGGCUUAACACAUGCAAGUCGAACGGAAAGGCCCUGCUUUUGUGGGGUGCUCGAGUGGCGAACGGGUGAGUAACACGUGAGUAACCUGCCCUUGACUUUGGGAUAACUUCAGGAAACUGGGGCUAAUACCGGAUAGGAGCUCCUGCGGCAUGGUGGGGGUUGGAAAGUUUCGGCGGUUGGGGAUGGACUCGCGGCUUAUCAGCUUGUUGGUGGGGUAGUGGCUUACCAAGGCUUUGACGGGUAGCCGGCCUGAGAGGGUGACCGGCCACCUUGGGACUGAGAUACGGCCCAGACUCCUACGGGAGGCAGCAGUGGGGAAUAUUGCCCAAUGCGCGGAAGCCUGAUGCAGCAACGCCGCGUGCGGGAUGACGGCCUUCGGGUUGUAAACCGCUUUCGCCUGUGACGAAGCGUGAGUGACGGUAAUGGGUAAAGAAGCACCGGCUAACUACGUG